UUCUAUGAAAACAUGGCUGUCCUGCAGGAUGAACCGAGGGAAGAUGAGGGAGGCUUUGUCACAUAGCAGCAUGGGCACUGGUCCGAACACCUGGCUAACACUUGCACAACACCAAAAAGGCAAUAGUAACUGGAAGAGUAAUCCAGACAGCUCAGAUUUUCCGAAGCAAACCAUCAUCCUAUUGAUAUGGCUGUAGUUCUUUCAUGCAAUGCCCACCCCAAGGAAUGAUGUGAUCUCUGGAGCACACAUGACCACCACAGCUGAUAAACACCUGAUUUCACUACAAAAGAGACUGCAAUGAAGUGGAUGAAAAAAAAUAUUGUCUGGCACUGACAAAUGUUGCUAAUUUGGGAAGAAGACAUGAUGCAGAAUGAUGGUGGGAAUUGGAACUUCAGACCUGUCCAUGCUGGGACUUAACUGCCAGGACCUCUGCUAUAGUGAUUGGAGUUCUCCAAGAAGCCUUGGAGAAGGGAAGAAGAAAUUGGUCAAUGAAUAUCCCAUUCAGGAAUCAGGCUCCUAACUCUGGCUGAAAGUCACCUGCUGUGGUGAGAAUUUGUUCCAGCUCAGCUGUCUGGUUCAUAAGGAUGGCACCUGGUGAUCAAUACUUAUUUCCCUGACAGCUGCCAGGAUCUUCCAAAGUUUCUGUAUUUCCACUGUGUGUGAAUACACAGAGCCUGCUUCCAUACAGAGGCGCUUAGCUUGCAAGUGGAGUGAGAUACCUAGCAAGUAGUAGUCACUUCAGUAUCUACAGAGCAAGUCAGUAGGAGGAGAUAGAAAAUAUUCACAUUUACCUUUUUACAAGGUAACCUUUCUGACAAGGUAAUCCCUAAUGGUAAUACCCAAGGGUAACCCCUUAACUUUAACCCACACACUGUUAACUUGCACACUCUUGACACUUUAAAUAUCCACUUUUGCUUCACAUGGGAAUUCGCCCCAGCAACGGAGCCAUUGAAACAGGCACAUACAUUCCCUCUUUUUAGGCAGCUAGCAGAAUAUUAGAUCCUCAUAAGUGACUCUAUCAAUGAUUUUGUUUCAAUUAUAUGUUCAGACUGCCAAAUUGAAUAAAACAUAUCCUUUCUAAAAUCUUCAUCUCAUCCCUGAAAAGAUAAAUUCACCUGUCCAAAUAAGCAAAAAAACUCACAGAAGAGCUUUCUUAUAAGCACAGAGAAAUACUGAUCCAUGGAAGAAAACUUGAGGUAUAAUCAACGUAGCUUAAAAAACUCUUAUCAGUACAGAAAUAUACAGCUAAAUUUUUGCAGCUUUAGAAUUUUUUCAUCAAAAGAGUCACAGAGUUGUUGAGGUUGGAAUGGACCUCCUCUGGAGACAGUCUAGUCCAACCCCCUGCUCAAAGUAGAGGCAGCUACAGCAGGUUGCUCAGGACCAUGUUCAGUCAGUGUUUGAGUAUCUCCAGGGAUGAAGACUCAGCAACCACUGGGGGCAGCCUGUUCCAGUGUUUCACCACACUCACGAUAAAAAGUUUUUUCUCAUCAUUAAACAAUUUCCUGUACUUCCCAUUUGAUCAAGCCCACUGCCUUUGUCCUGUCACUGGAUAACACUGUCUCUGCCUCAUUCUUCUUUAACACCUCCUGUCACCAGGUAUUUGUACAUAUGGGUAAAUUCUCCCUGAGCCUUCUCUUCUUGGGGGUAGAUAAUCCCAGCUCUCAACCUCUCCUUGAACAAUGGGUCAUCUUUGUGGCCCGGUGUUGCAUUCACUUCAACAUGGCCAUGCUUCUCUUGUCCUGGGAGCUCAGCAGCCAACACUGUGCCUCACCAGGCUAAGCAGAGGGGUAGGAUCACCCCCCUUCACCUGCCUGAAAUGCUCUGCCUGAUGUACUGAGCGGGAUACAUCUGCUCACAGUACCCCCUGCAGACCUUCAUGGCAACAGCUAGUUACCAAGGCUUUCACACAAGAAUAUCCACACAGUGAGCUAUGGUCACCAGCUUAACAUUCCCUUUAUAUUUAUUUGCUGCUAAUAUUAAAACUAUAUACAUGACCAGUUAAUAAAAUGUCAUGUUUUAUUAACACAUCACUCUGGACAGUGUGUCUUCCAAAAAUGCAACACUGCUAUGAAUGGUUAAAACAUAUCAAGCUCACAAACCAACACCUUUCAAAAUAGUAUAUUUCUUUAGUAAUGUAUCUAUUUAGAGGUAACUAGCAACAUUUUUUUCAUUUCUGCAGCAGACAAGUUUCCAUCACAGGGAGGUUUCCAGACCAGAUUUUGAUAGUAAAACGUUAAGCCUGAAGCAAUACAGGAGAGCAGCAGAACAAAAGUUUUUUUCAUUACUCUUCAUGCAUUAAUUACCUUUAUCAAAUACCAUCUGAGACUAGCUAUUUUUAAACCCUUCCACUGAUUCUGUAAUUACACUAGUUUAACACAGAUUUUAAUCUCCCCUACUCAUACACCUCUAUCUUAAAUAAAAUUUUAUAUAUUUGCAUAGAAAGUAUUACAGGCUAUUUACACACCAAUCAAUCUGAGCACAGCAACUUCCAGACACAACUCUUGGUUAAAGUUGUCAGUUAAACACAGACUCUAUAAAAGGCAAAGAGAAGUGAUAUACUGAAAUGAUUUAGCACUACAAAACACUUUAGUAGCAGAGGCAAUUGGUCAUUAAAAGGUUUGCUUUUAUGCAGUGGAAAUACAAUUUGUGAUAAUUUAAAUACAAAUUGACAUGGUGUAAUUUAUUAUUACUUAUGCAGUAUAAUUUUUUAUGCAUCCAUCAGGAAAGUGAAAACCAAAACACCCAUUUCUAUUUUGUUUAUCAUCACUUGCAUUGUAGAGUUAAUAUCUGUCAUUAAAAGCUGUAAUACUUGCC
This is a long non-coding RNA of Athene cunicularia (burrowing owl), 2814 nucleotides long. RefSeq lists it as uncharacterized. The record is from RefSeq and is a predicted model, not a curated record. The transcript has 4 exons. NCBI's taxonomy places the organism in Eukaryota, Metazoa, Chordata, Aves, Strigiformes, Strigidae.